GCUUAACGUAGAGGUGCGUUGUUUAUAAGUCGUGCGCAAGAGGGUGAUACCGAUGAGAGCGCAUAAAAGGAAACAACGCCGAAGCCAAUCAGGUCAUCACACCGAUUGAGCUGGGGCUGUUACCGAAUAGGGGCAGCACUGCCAUAGUACUUGGAAAUACACUAUGGAGCGCUACUGUAUGU
This 182-nucleotide non-coding RNA is filed under the name Salinivibrio sp. KP-1. RNAcentral's name for it is "Lysine riboswitch aptamer". It matches the Rfam family "Lysine riboswitch aptamer". From Rfam's summary of the family: Riboswitches are metabolite binding domains within certain messenger RNAs that serve as precision sensors for their corresponding targets. Allosteric rearrangement of mRNA structure is mediated by ligand binding, and this results in modulation of gene expression. RNAcentral also lists the same sequence under 1 other name. The record is from Rfam by way of RNAcentral. Lineage: Bacteria; Pseudomonadati; Pseudomonadota; Gammaproteobacteria; Vibrionales; Vibrionaceae.